RNAcentral lists this ribosomal RNA (465 nucleotides) under Vreelandella stevensii. RNAcentral's name for it is "partial 16S ribosomal RNA". It matches the Rfam family "Bacterial small subunit ribosomal RNA", at positions 338 to 795 of the family's 1533-position model. Lineage: Bacteria; Pseudomonadati; Pseudomonadota; Gammaproteobacteria; Oceanospirillales; Halomonadaceae. The record is from RNAcentral.
CCUACGGGCGGCAGCAGUGGGGAAUAUUGGACAAUGGGGGCAACCCUGAUCCAGCCAUGCCGCGUGUGUGAAGAAGGCCCUCGGGUUGUAAAGCACUUUCAGUGAGGAAGAACGCCUGGUGGUUAAUACCCAUCAGGAAAGACAUCACUCACAGAAGAAGCACCGGCUAACUCCGUGCCAGCAGCCGCGGUAAUACGGAGGGUGCGAGCGUUAAUCGGAAUUACUGGGCGUAAAGCGCGCGUAGGUGGCUUGAUAAGCCGGUUGUGAAAGCCCCGGGCUCAACCUGGGAACGGCAUCCGGAACUGUCAAGCUAGAGUGCAGGAGAGGAAAGUAGAAUUCCCGGUGUAGCGGUGAAAUGCGUAGAGAUCGGGAGGAAUACCAGUGGCGAAGGCGGCCUUCUGGACUGACACUGACACUGAGGUGCGAAAGCGUGGGUAGCAAACAGGAUUAGAUACCCGAGUAGUC